Molecule: long non-coding RNA, 681 nt
Organism: Mesocricetus auratus (golden hamster)
Lineage: Eukaryota; Metazoa; Chordata; Mammalia; Rodentia; Cricetidae
Exons: 3
Source: RefSeq, a predicted model, not a curated record
GUUGUACGUGAGAGGAGUAACAGGUCCAGACCCUUUCUCUGACCCUGUUUUAAUAUGCUAGCUGCAUCUGGAAUCUCUAAAGACCUGUAAGACCUGCCCGGGACAGGGAGCAGACACAAAAUCCUAUGAAAAGGGUUCUGGAUGACGGCUCAGCGGAAAGAAGUGGAUCCACACGAAACCUGUUCACACCUGGGGGUUGUGGAAGUGCCCUGUACUCUAAGACAAGUGGUCCACAGGCAGAUGCUUAAGAAGUCAACAACCGUGUCCCAUACAGAAAACACGAAGUUUCUUUAACCCACUGUGCAUGUUAAAGAAAAAGGAAGUAAAGGGAAGACUCCCCGAGACUCAAUUCACAGCAUUCAAAUACAAGUUUCUGAGGUUUGAAGACCAAAGCACUGAUUUUAUAAUUAAAAUCACUUCAACUGAAGUUUCCACAUUCACGGCCAUUCUUAUAGUCAACACUCCCAUCCAUAGUGAGGUCUGGAAUGGAGCUUGCCGCCUUGGUGAGGGCAGAAAUAAGCCGCUGCUUUAAAAGAUUGUUGAGCUUGAGUUACAGGGAAGCACUUCCUAGAAUUGAAAUAUUUCUCUAAACAAUUCAAUGAAUGAUGACAUUUCUCAUCAAGUUACACCCAGCAAUGGGAGUAGCCUGCCCUGUGAAAACAGGAUGAAAGGAAAAUGGAA